AUGAUUGCAUCCUGUCACAUCGAGGCAGAGAAGGUGAAGCAGGGAGUGAAGUGGAUGAAGUUUUGUUCUUGGUCACAGCAACAAAAAGAUCAGGCAGACAGGAAGAAGCAUCGGGGAAACAGAAAAACAACAGCAGAUGACUCAACAAUGACUGAACAACGGGCUGGACUGGAGGUGCAGGUGGAGGGAGGCGCAGAAACACCGGUGAGGGGGGGAAACACUAGAAAACAGGGACGAAACUGUGCAGAGGGAAGCGCUAACGACAAAGACGCCGUGCAGGUGUGGAGGCAAAGCAGACUGUCGGAGGAGCUCAGGUUUGUUGAGACCGAUCAGGAAGCAGCUGUGAGUUUCUGCAUCAAUGUUUCCAAAAUGAAGUUUCUGAAAAUGUUCAUCGUUUUUACUUCAGGGCCCCAAACACACAGCAGACAAUCAGGUGGAGAGAUUUGUGGGGGGGAGGGGUCGAUGUAAAUGUUGGGCUGAUGAGGAGAUCGGAGACAGGUGAACAGGUGAACAGGGUGUGUGUGGGAGUGAUGGCUGACGGCGGUAAACACAGAGGAGGGUAGAGGUAAUUGCAGGCUGUAGAAAGACAGCGAGACAAAUGACUGAUGAACCGACAACAGGUAAAAUACAACAUGCAAGCAACGUUAAAAGAAAAGUCUGGUGAUUAAACACUGCACUCCUGCAGUAUAACCAACCCAGCUGCAGGAAUAGAUGGAACCGUGGAAACAUUUUCUUAGUUUCGAGUUCCAGUGCCACGUUCUGACUCAUUGUCUCUUUAGGUUAAGGCAUGAAAAUAACAUGCUGAGGCCGGAAAUUAUCCUGACGUCUCAUCUAAAACCUCCUGUGGUUUCACACCUCCAAAUGGCAAAACGUCACCUCUGGUUUUGGAGACCUUUCACACUGAACUGAUCGUUCCCUCCACGUCCUGACAUGGAAGUAAGCGAUGAUGAUACGUACAGUUAUGAUUGGAAUAUAUAUAUACAUAUCCGUGUUUUGAAGAAAUCUAACAAUUCUGGACACGAGGAUCAUUACAAAUCAACACUGCCAUCCGCAGAGCUACGCUGCUGGUACAUCUGAAACACUCUGAAUCAGGUUUUAUUAUCUAAUAUAUUACAUUUUAGAGAAACUGAGUGGCCUAACUUGUCUAUUUAUUAUCCCACUUCACCCUCUGUCCUCAGUGGAACGCAGCACCCAGGAAGCAAGCGCUCCAAGUUCUGCUUCGCUGCAGACGUGGUGGAUAAGAUUGUCCCAGCUGUGGUGCGCCUGGAACUUUUCCAGCUGAAGCAAGACAAAAUAACACCUUCAACGCCAGGAAAUAGGACUGCCCCUUUUUGUCCUUUCCCCUCGCCAGGCUGCCUGUUUCCAGCGAGGAGCUCUCUGUGGCGAGCGGCUCCGGGUUUACAGUGUCAGAGGACGGCUGGAUCUUCAACAAACAGAAGAUAGAAGUUGGACGCUACAGUCACGGACGUGGAUCAGAAAAUGGACGUGGCGCUCAUCACACUGAGCCAGAUGUGAGUGGCCACAUUUUCCCCCUCAGCUCCCGACGGGCCUCAGACUAAAGUCAGUCUUGUGUUUUCAUCAGGCCUGGCAGCUUGUCAUCAGAGGCCGACAUCAAAGUGGAUAAAUCCUGAACAGAAAGGGGGCGGAUGAUCCGGUCAACGAGGGCUUUUUCCCACCAAAAUUAGACUCCAUCCCAACACGGUCGAUUUGUCGCCCGACCUCCUCUGGGGUGGUAUCGCCUUUUACAAUUCAAGGCUCAGCUUUUCUUUUUUUUUUUGUAUAUUUGCGAACGCAGCUCUGAAUAAAACAUGUCACUGCUCAGACAUGUUCUCACACAGCCAGUUUCUUUGCAUGGUGGAGGAGGAGGACUGUACUUCCAACCACUUCAGUCAGACUCCGCUCAGCAUGAAGUUUACGAUUAACAUUUUUUAGCGCUGAUCUGAAUACAGGAACGGCCCAACAUCAAGAGCAA
Sparus aurata (gilthead seabream) is the source of this 1972-nucleotide long non-coding RNA. The record is from Ensembl. NCBI's taxonomy places the organism in Eukaryota, Metazoa, Chordata, Actinopteri, Spariformes, Sparidae.